RNAcentral lists this ribosomal RNA (488 nucleotides) under uncultured bacterium. RNAcentral describes it as "bacterial SSU rRNA". It matches the Rfam family "Bacterial small subunit ribosomal RNA", at positions 28 to 518 of the family's 1533-position model. The record is from RNAcentral.
AACGAACGUUGGCGGCGUGGAUUAGGCAUGCAAGUCGAACGAAUCCCAGUGGGGGUAACUCUGCUGGGGGAAGUGGCGAAAGGGGCAGUAAUGCGUGGAUAACCUGCCCCCGAGACGGGGAUAGCCCUUCUAACGAAGGGGUAAUACCCGGAGACCUGGCGAGGUGGCAUCAUCUUGCCAGCAAAGGAGUUUCGCUCGGGGAGGGGUUCACGUGCUAUUAGCUUGUUGGCGGGGUAACGGCCCACCAAGGCUUAGAUGGCUAGCGGGUGUGAGAGCACGACCCGCGCCACUGGCACUGAGACACUGGCCAGACUCCUACGGGAGGCUGCAGUCGAGGAUCUUCGGCAAUGGGCGCAAGCCUGACCGAGCGACGCCGCGUGCGCGAUGAAGGCCUUCGGGUUGUAAAGCGCUGUCGAGGGGGAGGAAAGCCCGCAAGGGUCUGACCUAUCCCUGGAGGAAGCACGGGCUAAGUUCGUGCCAGCAGCCGC